GGAACGAAGGAGACUGCAGGGGAGGUGGGGAGUGAAAGCUGGAUUAACCUCACCCUCUUGGCCCCGGGUCUGCUCUGCCUCCUAAUCCCCAGUUGGUCGGUCUCAAGCUGCAGCUGACACCUGACCACCGUUUGGCAACAUGGCAGGUUUUCUUCACUAGCCGUUUCCAAAGACCUGGAAUCCAAAGACCAGCCCCUGUGCACAAGGAGAAAUACCUGCUCACACACUUCGAGGAGUAAUGAAGAGAACAAGAUCACGUCUAGUGGACAGGCCAAGGCGGUGCUGGCCCUGGGGAGGCCCAUCUAUGUGACUCUUGCCUCUUCUCUUAGCUGUGGGUCCUUCUUGGAGUGAAGACCCCAGGACCAGCAUCCGCCUGCUUCCCUUUCUUGGAUGUGAUAAUCACCAAGCUUCCCUGUGUCCUCAAGGUGGAACCAGCCCAGCCCAAAUCGAAGAGCUCAAGGACCCCUGCCGCAAUUAUUCUCCUUCUCCUCCUCCUCUUCACCUCCUUCCUUUUGGUAUGUACAUGGAUGUUUUGCCUACAUGUAUGUUUGUAUACCACAUGCUCUUAACCUCUGAGCCAUCUCUUCAGCUCCCUUGUCCCAGUUCUUAAGAGAUCCAACCACUCUGACAGUCUUGUCUUUACACCAGGGUGAGCAGAAGAAUUUUGGGGGUGGAUGUAAGAGACGCCACUCUGCCUGCCCUCACUAUACUUGAAUGACACCUUUCAUUAAGCACCUGCCUUCUCCAGUUGUAGGGGAACAGCUGCCGCCCAUCAGAGUCUCCCUGAAUAAAAUGAAAGUUUGCAGCAGGCUUUCAUGCUGAUGAGCAAUCCUGUGCAGUCCCUCAGUCCAUUUUACAGACAAGAAAACAGACAUCGGGCAGCUGAAGAAACCUGGAGUCCCUUGUUGCCUGUAUCUGUCACCCAACAGACCUCUCAAACAGAACUUCAAGUCAAUUUCCACAACAAUGAUUGUGCUAAAAAACACUUCUAACAGGUAGAACCUAAGUAGAGAAGUGUGGAGGGCUUAUUAGCCCAAAGUGGCCUACUGCUGUGUUGAUUUUUCUCUUGGAGGCCAUAGAGGAACAGAUCCUCCGGAGAACCUGAGUUAGAGGAAAAAGCUGAUGGCUAGGGGCUUCAACCCUGAGCUCCAAAUUGCAGUCAACUGCCAGAAUCCACUGGGAAUUCUGCUCUGAUACUCACUGAAUUCAGGGUUAGGGUUAGGGUUAGGGCUAGGGCUUGAGUAGAGAAAUGGAGCAAACUCAUCCUAGCAUGCUAGAAAGGCACUCUGUGCUGGGGAGAGCAGAGUUAGAGUUAUGAGCGUCACAUAAAAGUGGUUUCAAAUCCCAUCAUUGACUCUGACUGCUGGGCAACUUCUCAUAUGUAACUUUCCCUUCGAUGCUUUAUCUGAGGAACAGUGAUGUUUCCUACACCCAUCCCUGCUGAGAGGGUAGAUGCCCCCUUUGAAGGGGUUGUCCUUCUGUAUAUAUGCUUCUCUUAUUGGUUAAUGAAUAAAACACUGGUUGGCCAAGCAGGAAGAUAGGAGGGGCUAGGAGAUGAGGAGAAUUCUGGGAGAUGUAGGCAGACAGCAGUUAUCAUGUGAGCCCCGCAAGAGAGGACACCAGUCAGGCGUUCUCUGGUAAGAUGAGACCAUUGGAAAUACAUGUGUUAGUAGUUACAGAUUAGUAAUUAAGACAGAGCUAGCCAAUAAGAAGCUCAAGCCAUCGGCCAACAGUUUUAUAAUUAA
Mesocricetus auratus (golden hamster) is the source of this 1745-nucleotide long non-coding RNA. RefSeq lists it as uncharacterized. NCBI's taxonomy places the organism in Eukaryota, Metazoa, Chordata, Mammalia, Rodentia, Cricetidae. The transcript has 3 exons. The record is from RefSeq and is a predicted model, not a curated record.